RNAcentral lists this ribosomal RNA (576 nucleotides) under uncultured bacterium. RNAcentral describes it as "bacterial SSU rRNA". It matches the Rfam family "Bacterial small subunit ribosomal RNA", at positions 531 to 1105 of the family's 1533-position model. The record is from RNAcentral.
GGUGCAAGCGUUGUCACGGAAUUAUUGGGGCGUAAAGAGCUCGUAGGUGGUUUGUUACGUCGGUUGUGAAAUUCAGGGGCUCAACCCCUGACUUGCAGCCGAUACGGGCAAGCUAGAGUUUGGUAGGGGAGACUGGAAUUCCUGGUGUAGCGGUGGAAUGCGCAGAUAUCAGGAGGAACACCGAUGGCGAAGGCAGGUCUCUGGGCCAAUACUGACACUGAGGAGCGAAAGCGUGGGGAGCGAACAGGAUUAGAUACCCUGGUAGUCCACGCCGUAAACGGUGGGCGCUAGAUGUGGGGACUAUUCCAUGGUCUCUGUGUCGCAGCUAACGCAUUAAGCGCCCCGCCUGGGGAGUACGGCCGCAAGGCUAAAACUCAAAGGAAUUGACGGGGGCCCGCACAAGCGGCGGAGCAUGCGGCUUAAUUCGAUGCAACGCGAAGAACCUUACCUAGACUUGACAUAUACGGAAAACAUGCAGAGAUGUAUGGUCCGAAAGGGCCGUAUACAGGUGGUGCAUGGUUGUCGUCAGCUCGUGUCGUGAGAUGUUGGGUUAAGUCCCGCAACGAGCGCAACCCU